Molecule: ribosomal RNA, 479 nt
Filed under: uncultured bacterium
Lineage: Bacteria
Description: partial 16S ribosomal RNA
Rfam family: Bacterial small subunit ribosomal RNA
Source: RNAcentral
GAUGAACGCUAGCGGGAGGCCUAACACAUGCAAGCCGAGCGGUAGAGUCUCUUCGGAGACUUGAGAGCGGCGCACGGGUGCGGAACACGUGUGCAACCUGCCUUUAUCUGGGGGAUAGCCUUUCGAAGGGAAGAUUAAUACCCCAUAAUAUACUGGAUGGCAUCAUCUGGUAUUGAAAACUCCGGUGGAUAGAGAUGGGCACGCGCAAGAUUAGAUAGUUGGUGAGGUAACGGCUCACCAAGUCAGCGAUCUUUAGGGGGCCUGAGAAGGUGAUCCCCCACACUGGUACUGAGACACGGACCAGACUCCUACGGGAGGCAGCAGUGAGGAAUAUUGGACAAUGGGUGAGAGCCUGAUCCAGCCAUCCCGCGUGAAGGACGACGGCCCUAUGGGUUGUAAACUUCUUUUGUAUAGGGAUAAACCUAGAUACGUGUAUCUAGCUGAAGGUACUAUACGAAUAAGCACCGGCUAACUCCGUG